RNAcentral lists this unclassified non-coding RNA (1527 nucleotides) under Limulus polyphemus (Atlantic horseshoe crab). Its description in RNAcentral is "uncharacterized LOC106461945, transcript variant X1". The record is from RNAcentral. Lineage: Eukaryota; Metazoa; Arthropoda; Merostomata; Xiphosura; Limulidae.
ACAAUAAAAUACUGUCGAACUAAGUUAUGUAAAAAUAAUCUUUUUUUUUUUCUAUGUUAGUCGUUUCGAGAGGUCAAAUCGUUGUUGACGUUGGUAUUAACGUUAGUUAUAAAAUGUGAUUAUUGUAAAGUUAAUAUAAUUUAUGAUGUUGAGGUGGAACCAAUCUGUACUUUUAAGAAUAGUGAAGGGUUAAUUACAUAGACCAAUAAUAUUAGUCCUACUAGUACUAAUAAUAGUUUUCGUGUUGUUUUUUUUUAAUAUAAAAACCUGCUUUAAUGCAGAAACUACGAAAGGUGCAUUGUAUGAACGUUUGGAUGCCAUCAGUGUUCAACUUUUUUUCGAAGUUCGUUUUUGUAUGUCUAACAUUAGGCUUAACGUUAUUGAGUACUGAGACUGGUGUUAAAAUAUGUGGUAGCAUUCCAUUAGUAAUCAAUUAUACAGCAUCGUUGGAGGUUCAUCAUCAGUGUAGCUCACAACAUGAUUGUACUCAUCUGAAAGGCUAUGUCUGGUGCAACCCUUUUGGUAAUAAAUGUGAAUGUGAAAGAGGAACAUUUAUGUUAAGUUCAAGCUAUAAGUGUGUUAAAGUAGCCAGGCUCCAUGAUGUGUGUGAAUCACCAGAACAGUGUAAGAAAUGGGACCCAUUGUCUACAUGUACUCUGACCUAUGAGUCCAAUAUCUUAUCCUCUGCAUGCAAGUGUGAUACAAACUACCAAGAAGAGAUUGGUUUUAACAAAACAACAUGUGUCAUUCAGAGAUCAUUUUUUCCCAAAAAUGGGAUUCACCAACAUUUUGACACCAGAGACUCUGUGCCUAUAUUAAUGGGAUGUGUUGCUGCAGGCUUGGCUCUUCUUGCAUGCAGUGCUGGAAUAGCUCAGCUUUUGAGAAAACGACACCAGCAGUUUCGAUCUGGUCCAGUUAAUCAUGAAGAAGAAACUAGUAAUCUACAGAGGAUAUCUAUGGUUUCAACAAGGUCUACACGUCCUACGACAACAACAAUAACCACCCAGCCAGCAGAGGAAAUAUCUCUCGCUCACAUCAAUCAAGAGGACCUCCCACCAAGUUAUGAGGAGGCUAUCAAGUAUUCCUCUCCAGUAACUUUGUUGCCUCAUUCAGAAAAAGAAGAGCAACAGGCGUAAUGUUCUGUCGAGCAAAUCGUACUCCCUCAUAACGAAGAAAAGGCCAAUAAGGAUUUAAUCAUUGUAAUUGUAAUUGGUGUCGUCAUUGUUCUUAAUACUUUUACCUUUUGGAUGUGUGGGCUAUGCAGUUUUAUCACGAGUUGAAACAUGUAUGAUGAUCUCAUCAUGGUUGUUGUUCCACUAUGAUGUCAUGUCCGCCUCUCAUAGUGGACUAGCACUCUCUGGUGCCACUUCAUGGAACUAUGGCGUCAUCGUCUCUACCUCUUCCCUUCCCCUCCCCAUUGCCUCAGGUGGACAUGCGUGUAGCGCCCUCUAGCGGCGUGUUGCACGGUCCCUGCCUUAACUACUCAAGAUUUCAUUUUGAAAAAUCCAACUCUUAAAUAGGAUAGAC